This 1337-nucleotide long non-coding RNA is filed under the name Callithrix jacchus (white-tufted-ear marmoset). Its description in RNAcentral is "lncRNA (ENSCJAG00000072349.1)". The record is from RNAcentral. Lineage: Eukaryota; Metazoa; Chordata; Mammalia; Primates; Cebidae.
UUUGAAAGGGAGAAAGAGGGAGUGCUGGCUUAUGUGAGACUCUAGUUGUUUUCUUCUGCUUAUGGAGAAAUAUGAUGGAUGUGACUCCAAACUGGGAUACUCUUGGUCUCUGCUAGGGACCUGCUUCCUUAUGUACAGACCGGUGCAGGUUUUACAUUAAACUUGUUUUAGUCAUCUCCAGAAUAUGUACUGCAUUUAUCUCCAAAUUUUGAUAUACCGUCUGCCCAUUCUAUAAUAACAAAAAGAGCUACUAAGUGACAGAGAAACGCCUUGAAGCUGUUUCUGUUAUUAAACCACGAGGACUGUCUGCCUGUGAUGGUCAGUCUCCGAGCCGGCCCAGGAUUCAUACUCUCGUUAGCAUCCUCUCCCACAUGGAAUAGGGCUGAGUUCUGUAACAAAUAGGAUAUUGCAGAAAGGACAAAGUGCAAUUUCUGAAGCAAAGUCAUAAGAGACAGUGUGGUUUCUAGCUUGUGUGCUUGGAUCACUGGCACUGGGGACGGCCAGGUGCCAGGGCAUGAGGACUGAGGCAGCCUAGGGUAGGCUAGUGUAGUAAAGGCCUAAGGUCUCCUGCCAACAACCUUGUGAGUGAAUCAUCUUGGAAGUGGAUACUUCAGCUCCAUCAGGCCUUCAAAUGACAGAUCUCCCAGCAGGUAUCUUGACAUGAGAUAAAGACCCUUUGCCACUCCCAAAUUUCUGACUCCCCCAAACUAUGCACAAUAAAUGUUCAUUGUUUUUUGCCUCUAAGUUUUGGGGCAAUUUUUUUACGUGGGAUAGACACCUACUACACUAUUACAAUGAAGUUUGUGAUAAAGUGUGAGAGAGCACUAUAUAUUGGUUUUUAGUGCUCUAAAAACCAAUAUAUAGUGCUCUAAACUCCAAGAAGGACAUGUAUUUCUGUUGUUUGUUUGUUUUUUGUUUUUUUUUUUUUUACCUUGGGGGGUAGGAAGAGUUAAAGGAGGAGAAAUUUUACUAUGUGGAAAAAAAAACAAACACAAUCAAAAUAAAACCUUUUUAGUGUGUCCAAGGUUAAAUAGAGUGACUCAGGCUUUGAUUCACAGUGGACAGGUAAAUUUUACUACUGAAUACUGGAAAAUAAAUCAAGGAUACCUCUUAAUAUCUUGAUCUCCUUAAGCUGGCAAGACUGGAAUAGAAGUUUUAACAAAUAGCAGCACAAAAUCACUUGCAACUCUUACAUUCUGGCAUUGGGUACCACAUAAGUAAGGUUCAUCAUUUUGAAGGUCAAAGGAGCCUUGAUUCUAUUUCUCUUUCAAAGCUGAACCCAAUGGACUCCUGUGGGAAGUAGUUAUUGUCUCUUGUUCAGUCAUGCUCUAUGUAAA